Marmota monax (woodchuck) is the source of this 1915-nucleotide long non-coding RNA. RefSeq lists it as uncharacterized. The record is from RefSeq and is a predicted model, not a curated record. The transcript has 3 exons. Lineage: Eukaryota; Metazoa; Chordata; Mammalia; Rodentia; Sciuridae.
GGCGCUGGCCAAUAAACUGGCGACUUGGGAGGAGCCAGCCAAUCAGGAUACUGGAAGGGCGGGCGUAGUGGUUGGUUAACAUACAGAAAGCGGAAGUACUGAUUCUGCCGUCUCUGGUUGGUAGGACGAGUCAGGUGACCAAAGACUGCGACCAAUGGGAUCGGAGGAAGAAGGAAUUCCCGGGAAUUUCUGGUGUGGUCUCAGUCGUGGAGGCGAAAGGGCGGUUGCGGUCUUCCACCGCUCGUGGCCUCGCCGUCUCAACGUGCGGGUGCUGGAAUCUGCACCUCCUCGCUGCGCGAGGAAGAGCUCCUGCGCUUCCGAUAUAUUUGCUUGGCGAUGAACGCGGGCAGCCUCACCUUUGCUCGGGGCUGUUUACCUUAGCCCCAUGCGCAGCUUCUUGAGCUAAGUUACUAGUUUGUAUCCCUGGCUGCAUAUCAUUUCCCCCCCCCCCCCAGAAGAGCGGGUAGCGCUCUUUUCGGGAAGAUUUAAAACUAGCCUGUCUGCGGAGGGGCGUGUGUCCGUUCUGCAGGUGAUUCUAAGGCGAGGCAGUGCUGAGAAUCAUUGCACUGGAUUAUUUGCAUUGAUGGAUGUUUUACAAAUAGUAUCAGUGAUCCUUGCAAUAGUCCUGGGAGCUAAACACAAUCAUGCAGUAUUGAUUUUAGCUGCUGGGGUUUGAACUCAGGGCCUCUAAGUGCGUGCUUUCCCCUGAGCUACUCCCUCAGCCUCUCUUCUGCCCUUUUAAUUACGUAAAACGCAAGUUUCAGAAGUGACUGGCCCGGCCUCAGCAAUUUAGGGAGUCCCUCAGAAACCUAGUGAGACCCUGUCUCAAACUAAAAAAGAAUAAAAUGGCUGGAGUUGUAGCUCAGUGGUAAAUCACAAUUGGGACCAAAUCCCCAGUGCCAAAAAAGGGUUCACUCAAAAUGACACAGUCUGUAAAUGGUGCUUCCAUCUUUCCCAGAAGAGGAAGACGGUGAUAAGUCCAGUGAAAGUGUACUUUCACUGUGUCACACUGUGAGUAAAGGUCACAAAACUCUGAGUUUUUUCUUCUUUUGUCAGUAGCAGUCUAUCUAACAAGGAACUGCUAAUUUUACACACUUUACCUCUAAUUCCCUUGCCACUCACUUUUGAGUUUGAGCUGCAGUUAAGUAGCCCAUGCAGAGGCUGCCCUGCUUCCACAGUGUGUGGGACCUUCUUUCCUUCUUCCAUGCCUGUGGCCACAUGUGUCUCUGGAACGUUGAAAUGUCUGGAUUCUUUCCUACAGGACGAACUUCUUUGUGACCCUACACUGCAGUACCACAGGAGCCUUCCUGCAGAACCUCAGCUUCCUCUGAGCUGCCCCAGGUGGGGAGCUUCCUGGGACCCCACUGCUGCAGGUGAUGACCUCAUGAAAACAUCUCUGAAGUACUGUCCUCCCACCUAGAGUCCCUCUGAGUUUCCCAAGAUGUCAAAGGAACAAAGUGUGAUCUGAUGAGCAUCUUGUGAUGAAUCCAAGCUCCUCACUCCCCUACCCACAGGCAACAGUACCUUCCUUAUCUCAACAAGGCCUGCCUGACCAAUCCUGAGAUAAUGAUGGACAGACCACACCUGAUCAAGAUCACCUGCUUUGGGCUUGUGCAUAGUGGCACACACCUGUAAUCCCAGCAGCUCAGGAGGCUGAGGUAGGAGGAUCACAAGUUCAAAGCCAGCCUCAGCAACUUGGUUAUGCCCUAGGCAACUUAGUGAGACCGUCUCAAAAUAAAAUUUUUUUAAGAAAGGCUGGGGAUGUGGCUUAGUGGUUAAGCCCCUCUGGGUUCAAUUCCUCAUGCCAAAAAAGGAAAGAGAUCACUGCUUUGGCAGCUAUGAAAAGCCUCCAGCUGUGCAGACCCCAAACCCUUGCUCUCAUUCCCCUUUUGAUAAAACCUCAGAGUCACAGUUG